This 371-nucleotide ribosomal RNA is filed under the name uncultured organism. Its description in RNAcentral is "bacterial SSU rRNA". It matches the Rfam family "Bacterial small subunit ribosomal RNA", at positions 527 to 896 of the family's 1533-position model. The record is from RNAcentral.
CGGGGGGGCAAGCGUUGUUCGGAAUUACUGGGCGUAAAGGGCUCGUAGGCGGCCAACUAAGUCGGAUGUGAAAUCCCCAGGCUCAACUUGGGAACUGCAUCCGAUACUGGAUGGCUUGAAUCCGGGAGAGGGAUGCAGAAUUCCAGGUGUAGCGGUGAAAUGCGUAGAUAUCUGGAGGAAUACCGGUGGCGAAGGCGGCAUCCUGGACCGGCAUUGACGCUGAUGAGCGAAAGCUAGGGGAGCAAACGGGAUUAGAUACCCCGGUAGUCCUAGCCCUAAACGAUGAAUGCUUGGUGUGGCGGGUAUCGAUCCCUGCCGUGCCGAAGCUAACGCAUUAAGCAUUCCGCCUGGGGAGUACGGUCGCAAGGCUG